Molecule: ribosomal RNA, 319 nt
Filed under: uncultured bacterium
Lineage: Bacteria
Description: bacterial SSU rRNA
Rfam family: Bacterial small subunit ribosomal RNA
Source: RNAcentral
GCAAGGGGAGCGGCAGACGGGUGAGUAACGCGUGGGAACCUACCUGAAGGUACGGAACAACUCCGGGAAACUGGAGCUAAUACCGUAUGUGCCCGAAAGGGGAAAGAUUUAUCGCCUUCAGAUGGGCCCGCGUCAGAUUAGCUAGUUGGUGAGGUAACGGCUCACCAAGGCGACGAUCUGUAGCUGGUCUGAGAGGAUGAUCAGCCACACUGGGACUGAGACACGGCCCAGACUCCUACGGGAGGCAGCAGUGGGGAAUAUUGGACAAUGGGCGCAAGCCUGAUCCAGCCAUGCCGCGUGAGUGAUGACGGCCUUAGGG